GACGAACGCUGGCGGCGUGCUUAACACAUGCAAGUCGAACGGAAAGGCCCUGCUUUUGUGGGGUGCUCGAGUGGCGAACGGGUGAGUAACACGUGAGUAACCUGCCCUUGACUUUGGGAUAACUUCAGGAAACUGGGGCUAAUACCGGAUAGGAGCUCCUGCUGCAUGGUGGGGGUUGGAAGGUUUCGGCGGUUGGGGAUGGACUCACGGCUUAUCAGCUUGUUGGUGGGGUAGUGGCUUACCAAGGCUUUGACGGGUAGCCGGCCUGAGAGGGUGACCGGCCACAUUGGGACUGAGAUACGGCCCAGACUCCUACGGGAGGCAGCAGUGGGGAAUAUUGCACAAUGGGCGGAAGCCUGAUGCAGCAACGCCGCGUGCGGGAUGACGGCCUUCGGGUUGUAAACCGCUUUCGCCUGUGACGAAGCGUGAGUGACGGUAAUGGGUAAAGAAGCACCGGCUAACUACGUG
Molecule: ribosomal RNA, 468 nt
Filed under: uncultured bacterium
Lineage: Bacteria
Description: partial 16S ribosomal RNA
Rfam family: Bacterial small subunit ribosomal RNA
Source: RNAcentral